This 254-nucleotide ribosomal RNA is filed under the name uncultured bacterium. Its description in RNAcentral is "partial 16S ribosomal RNA". It matches the Rfam family "Bacterial small subunit ribosomal RNA", at positions 795 to 1041 of the family's 1533-position model. The record is from RNAcentral.
CAUAGCUGUGACUUUAUGAGUAUUAAGUAUUAAAAAAAAAUUUUAGUAUUUAAGCAUACGCGUAAAUACUCCGCCUGGGAACUACGACCGCAAGGUUGAAACUCAAAGGAAUUGACAGAGGUUUUUCUCGAGCAGUGGAACAUGUAGUUUAAUGCGAUAUAAAACGUCAAAUCUUACCAGUAAUUGCAUUAUAGAUUUUUUUAAAAGAAAUUUUAAAAAAAAUUAAAUAGAAUUUAAUAAUUUAUAACAGGUAC